CGAGACACAUGCGUUUAUUAUUGCAUAAAAAAAGUGAAAGGAUAUUGAGAAAAAAUGAAUGUGUGAUAUAUAUAAGCAUCGCAUUAUACGUCAUUUAAAUGUGUUUGUCAUUUGCGUAAAACGUCAUUAAACAUUGAAAGCACAAGUUAUCGACUGCCAUAUUUUUAUGUUCUCGUUAAGUGACAGUAACUUCUUUUAAGUUUUAAUUAAAAGGACAGGAGUUAUAGUUAAAGUACUUGAACGAAAAAUCAAGAAAGAGCGACAUGAAAAUGGGAGUGUCAAAAGCGAUAUUCCUAUUUAUUACUUUAUCAACAUUUCAAGCAUACUACGGACAAAAUUGUGCAAUUGAACGAAAAGUAAUCAACAAUACAGUUGAAGGAAAACAGUGGACACCAUUUUAUAACUUUGUAUUCUCUCGGACCACAAGCAUGUCUUAACGAGUGUAUUAGACGAGCGGACUGUGUGUUCUUCAACUUCAAAUGGGAGUCGCGAUUGUGUGAACUUUGCUACAAUACAACGGAAUCGAUCGAAAAUUCUGCCACCGGUUACUUCUUUAAGGAUAUUACUACAGAGAGAGGCGGACAAAACGAUCCAUGCGCAGGAACUAUCUGCUCCUCUGGUAAAAUAUGUAUUGUUUUAUACAACAAGAAGACAUUGUGUAUAGUAGACGGUUGACAAUCGUCGGCAGUACAGAUUUUUCUACUAUUUUCUGGAAUAGAUAACUCUUAAAAAUCAGCCGAACGUUUUAAUUAUAAACUUUUAUUGGAGAGAAAUGAAUCUUCUCAAUGAUCAAAAUUAGAUUUUGACAAACUGCUAUAAAUGUAUCUUAUUCAAUUAUUAAUGGAAAUCUUGUGGUUAAAAUUUCUUCAAAAGGUUAUGUACCAAUCAAAGGGUCAAAUAUAAAAAAAGAAGAUGUGGUACAAUUGCUAAUGAGAUAACUGUCCACAAGAGACCAAAAUGACACAGACAUUAAAACCCUAUAGUACUGGUAAAUCAUUAAACCAGGGAUGUCGUUUUCAUAAAUUACUUUAAACCUUUUACUAAAUUCUUCUAUAUAUAUACAGAUUUGGUUUUGAAGUUGAUCGUACCUGUAGAAAACAUAUUUUAAACGGGAUAGCACAUCCUCAUUUUUACGGAAAUGUUGUUAACCGUGCUCGAAAAUUUACACAUGAUCCAUGUAAACUUAUCGGUCCUUUUGAUAAACUUAUUCUUAAAGGUUACAUAUUCAACACUGUAAUGAGAUCUGUGAAUAAUGUUUUUAUAGGUAUAGAUAUUGUUAUAAGUAAAUUAAAAGCUAACUUAAUAUUA
Mytilus trossulus (common blue mussel) is the source of this 1308-nucleotide long non-coding RNA. RefSeq lists it as uncharacterized. The transcript has 3 exons. The record is from RefSeq and is a predicted model, not a curated record. Lineage: Eukaryota; Metazoa; Mollusca; Bivalvia; Mytilida; Mytilidae.